This 433-nucleotide ribosomal RNA is filed under the name uncultured bacterium. RNAcentral's name for it is "partial 16S ribosomal RNA". It matches the Rfam family "Bacterial small subunit ribosomal RNA", at positions 29 to 507 of the family's 1533-position model. The record is from RNAcentral.
AACGAACGCUGGCGGCAUGCCUAACACAUGCAAGUCGAACGAGACCUUCGGGUCUAGUGGCGCACGGGUGCGUAACGCGUGGGAACCUGCCCUUAGGUUCGGAAUAACUCCCCGAAAGGGGUGCUAAUACCCGAUAAUGUCUUCGGACCAAAGAUUUAUCGCCUUUGGAUGGGCCCGCGUUGGAUUAGCUAGUUGGUAGGGUAAAAGCCUACCAAGGCGACGAUCCAUAGCUGGUCUGAGAGGAUGAUCAGCCACACUGGGACUGAGACACGGCCCAGACUCCUACGGGAGGCAGCAGUGGGGAAUAUUGGACAAUGGGCGAAAGCCUGAUCCAGCAAUGCCGCGUGAGUGAUGAAGGCCUUAGGGUUGUAAAGCUCUUUUACCCGGGACGAUAAUGACAGUACCGGGAGAAUAAGCGCCGGCUAACUCCGUG